RNAcentral lists this ribosomal RNA (461 nucleotides) under uncultured bacterium. RNAcentral's name for it is "bacterial SSU rRNA". It matches the Rfam family "Bacterial small subunit ribosomal RNA", at positions 923 to 1379 of the family's 1533-position model. The record is from RNAcentral.
GCACAAGCGGUGGAGCAUGUGGUUUAAUUCGACGCAACGCGAAGAACCUUACCCGGGCUAGAAUGCCUCUGACCGCCAUAGAGAUAUGGCUUCCUGGGUAAAACCAGGCAGAGUGCAAGGUGCUGCAUGGCUGUCGUCAGCUCGUGUCGUGAGAUGUUGGGCUAAGUCCCGCAACGAGCGCAACUCUCGCUCCCAGUUGCCAGCGGUUCGGCCGGGGACUCUGGGGGGACUGCCGGCGUUAAGCCGGAGGAAGGUGGGGACGACGUCAAGUCAUCAUGGCCCUUACGUCCAGGGCGACACACGUGCUACAAUGCCUGGUACAACGCGUCGCGAACUCGCAAGAGGGAGCCAAUCGCCAAAAGCCGGGCUAAGUUCGGAUUGUCGUCUGCAACUCGACGGCAUGAAGCCGGAAUCGCUAGUAAUCGCGGAUCAGCCACGCCGCGGUGAAUACGUUCCCGGGC